This is a non-coding RNA of Potamilus streckersoni, 77 nucleotides long. The record is from the annotation of a GenBank genome assembly. Lineage: Eukaryota; Metazoa; Mollusca; Bivalvia; Unionida; Unionidae.
GACAGCUUCGGUGUCCUAGUGGCUAGAGCGUCCGCCUCAGAGGCGGGAGGUUGCUGGUUCGAACCUAGGUCGUGUCA